UGCCUUACACAUGCAAGUCGAACGGCAGCACGGGAGUAAUCCUGGUGGCGAGUGGCGAACGGGUGAGUAAUAUAUCGGAACGUGCCCAGUCGUGGGGGAUAACGCAGCGAAAGCUGUGCUAAUACCGCAUACGAUCUCUGGAUGAAAGCGGGGGACUCGCAAGGGCCUCGCGCGAUUGGAGCGGCCGAUAUCAGAUUAGCUAGUUGGUGGGGUAAAGGCUCACCAAGGCGACGAUCUGUAGCUGGUCUGAGAGGACGACCAGCCACACUGGAACUGAGACACGGUCCAGACUCCUACGGGAGGCAGCAGUGGGGAAUUUUGGACAAUGGGCGCAAGCCUGAUCCAGCAAUGCCGCGUGCAGGAUGAAGGCCUUCGGGUUGUAAACUGC
RNAcentral lists this ribosomal RNA (388 nucleotides) under uncultured organism. Its description in RNAcentral is "bacterial SSU rRNA". It matches the Rfam family "Bacterial small subunit ribosomal RNA", at positions 45 to 433 of the family's 1533-position model. The record is from RNAcentral.